UACGUAGGCAGCAAGCGUUGUUCGGAAUUACUGGGCGUAAAGAGCGUGUAGGCGGUUCGGUAAGUCUGUCGUGAAAUCCUGAGGCUCAACCUCGGGCGUGCGAUGGAUACUGCCGGGCUAGAGGACUGGAGAGGAGACUGGAAUUUACGGUGUAGCGGUGAAAUGCGUAGAUAUCGUAAGGAAGACCAGUGGCGAAGGCGGGUCUCUGGACAGUUCCUGACGCUGAGACACGAAGGCCAGGGGAGCAAACGGG
Molecule: ribosomal RNA, 253 nt
Filed under: uncultured bacterium
Lineage: Bacteria
Description: partial 16S ribosomal RNA
Rfam family: Bacterial small subunit ribosomal RNA
Source: RNAcentral